RNAcentral lists this ribosomal RNA (198 nucleotides) under uncultured bacterium. RNAcentral describes it as "partial 16S ribosomal RNA". It matches the Rfam family "Bacterial small subunit ribosomal RNA", at positions 1303 to 1500 of the family's 1533-position model. The record is from RNAcentral.
GGCUGAAAUUCGCCUUCAUGAAGCUGGAAUUGCUAGUAAUGGCAGGUCAGCAUACUGCCGUGAAUACGUUCCCGGGCCUUGUACACACCGCCCGUCACACCAUGAGAGUUGGGAAUACCCGAAGCCUGUGAGCUAACUGUAAGGAGGCAGCAGUCGAAGGUAGAAUCAAUGAUCGGGGUGAAGUCGUAACAAGGUAGC